CAACAGGGAUUGCCUCAGUAACGGCGAGUGAAGCGGCAAAAGCUCAAAUUUGAAAUCGCAGUGCGAGUUGUAAUUUGAAGAUUGUGUUUUGGAGACGACCGUGUCUAUGUUCCUUGGAACAGGACGUCACAGAGGGUGAGAAUCCCGUGCGAUGCGGCCACCGUCCCCGUGUAAAACACUCUCGACGAGUCGAGUUGUUUGGGAAUGCAGCUCAAAGUGGGUGGUAAAUUCCAUCUAAAGCUAAAUACAGGCGAGAGACCGAUAGCGAACAAGUACAGUGAUGGAAAGAUGAAAAGCACUUUGAAAAGAGAGUGAAACAGUACGUGAAAUUGUUGAAAGGGAAGGGCAUGCCGUCAGAUUGCCAGUAUCGGUUCGCAGGGAAGCACAAAAGCAGAGGAACGUGGCCUUUCGGGUGUUAUAGCCUCCGCCAAUACUUCUCCGCGGACCGAGGACUGCUUUGAGGAUACUGGCGUAAUGACGGUACGCCGCCCGUCUUGAACA
Molecule: ribosomal RNA, 501 nt
Filed under: Kodamaea sagamina
Lineage: Eukaryota; Fungi; Ascomycota; Pichiomycetes; Serinales; Debaryomycetaceae
Description: LSU rRNA
Rfam family: Eukaryotic large subunit ribosomal RNA
Source: RNAcentral